This 496-nucleotide ribosomal RNA is filed under the name uncultured bacterium. RNAcentral's name for it is "partial 16S ribosomal RNA". It matches the Rfam family "Bacterial small subunit ribosomal RNA", at positions 28 to 506 of the family's 1533-position model. The record is from RNAcentral.
GAUGAACGCUGGCGGCGUGCCUAAUACAUGCAAGUCGAGCGAACGGACGAGAAGCUUGCUUCUCUGAUGUUAGCGGCGGACGGGUGAGUAACACGUGGAUAACCUACCUAUAAGACUGGGAUAACUUCGGGAAACCGGAGCUAAUACCGGAUAAUAUUUUGAACCGCAUGGUUCAAAAGUGAAAGACGGUCUUGCUGUCACUUAUAGAUGGAUCCGCGCUGCAUUAGCUAGUUGGUAAGGUAACGGCUUACCAAGGCAACGAUGCAUAGCCGACCUGAGAGGGUGAUCGGCCACACUGGAACUGAGACACGGUCCAGACUCCUACGGGAGGCAGCAGUAGGGAAUCUUCCGCAAUGGGCGAAAGCCUGACGGAGCAACGCCGCGUGAGUGAUGAAGGUCUGCGGAUCGUAAAACGCUGUUAUUAGGGAAGAACAUAUGUGUAAGUAACUGUGCACAUCUUGACGGUACCUAAGCAGAAAGCCACGGCUAACUACGU